AAUUAACGUUUUACAUAUCUACAUUACUCAUCUGAGUCGAAAGUUCCAAUUCGUUAAAAUUAGAAAUGAAAGUGGGUUUUAUUGGUGCCGGUCGAAUGACCUAUGCCUUAUGCAAGGGGUUUUUAAAGUCUUGUAAGUAUCUCUAUGGAGUAUUACUGUAUUAAUCAUUCGAAUUAUUAAAAUAUCCAAAUAAAGCGUUUGCUAUUUUUGUUAAAUUGAUAAAAAACUGUUUAUGAGACUUUUGUUUUUUUGCAUCGUCUUCUUUCAUACAAUCAUCUAUCCAAAAGACUAAUAGAUAAGAGUACCAUAUAGUUAGAGCGUUAACAUUAUAAUAAGCUCAUUAUUACGUUAUUGUAAAAUAUUAUACAAGAUAUUGCAUCUUAAAAUUAUUGCGUUGUCAUUGAAAAGUAUAGUUGCCACAUGGCUUUCUUUCAAUGAAUGUUUCACUUCUUUUUCCCGCCAACAUUUAAAAAUAGAAUUUUAAUUUGUACUAGUAUAUUACAGUAUUAAUUAUAUAUAAACAUGUUUCAUUUUAUUGUUAGCACUUGUAAAACCAUCAGAAAUAACUGCUAGUGACCUCAAUAGAUCAAAGUUGAGAGAAAUAAAGGUAUAGUAAUUGAAAAUGCUUUUAAUUAAUUAAAAUAAAUAAAUUUAAUUAGAGCUUUCGUAUACAAUGUGCAAAAACAUUGCGAUCGCACUAGAAAUUUGUAUAUAAUCUUUUCUUACGCGAUUUUAUUCAGAUUUGUUGAUUAUUAUAUAUCAGUACUAAUGAAGAUGAAUAUAGUAAUGUGCAUAAAAUGUGCCUAAAAUGCUCAGAUGUUUUAAAAUUUUAGAUCGAAGAUUCUUCUUAUAUUAAAAAUAUGGCAGCACGUAUUUCUCUUCCUGAAAAUACAUAUUGUAACUGUUAAACAUAGGAUAAUCAGACCUAUUUCUAGAACAUCUCGAUAAAUAUGAGUCAUUUUGCAACAUUUUGUCAAAAUAGUCACCAUGUGUUGAUUAGGCUAGCGGAACAAAAUUGACAUUAGAAGAGAGAACAGAAAUUCUCGUCUUAUCAGAAGAAGGCAAUUCUGCAAGAGAUAUUGCUAAAAAAAUGAAGAGGCAUAACUCAACAAUCUCUUGACUCCUCAGCAAUCCAGAAGGUUAUGGCCUAAAGAUGAAGAAUAGAUCAGAAAGAAAACUCACAGUGGAACUAUUAGGAAGAAGAUAGAAAGCACUACCAGUAAUAAGUAGAUUUCGGCUAAAAGAAUAAAACACCAGUUGGUUCUGCUUGGCAUUAACCAAAAAAUUCGAUGUUUUAAAUGAACAUAACCCAAAAUAUCGAAAAAUAUUAAAAAGGCCAAAACUUUUGAUGAUAUGGGGAGGAGUUGUUACCUAUGAAUGGAAGACUUCUUCCUAUGCAUUUAUUGGGCUGAGUAUGUAGUCUGCUGCAGGAUAUAGCCCUUAUACAUAGGGUUCUUAAAACAAAAAUCUUUUUGAUAGAAGAUAUUAAAAAAAUGAACUGCCAUAAAAUUCUUCAGAUUUCAACAUUAUUGAAAACAUCUGGGGAAUGAUGGCCAAAAGAGUAUAGGAAAAUUGGAAGUAGAGUUGAAAACAGCCAUCUCUGAGGCCUGAACUGAUUGUAUCAGCCUCCUAUUUAUUAAAAGCUGUAUUGAUUCCAUACCAGAUAGAUACAGACUGUAUUUGGCAAAUAAGGAAAAAAAUACAGAAUAUUAUGCAGAUUAAUAAGUAGAUUUUAAAGGAAGACAGAUAUUUGUCGUCACAUUUUAAAAGUAAUAUAUAUAAAAGAAAAUCUUUGAUUUAGAAGAGCAAGAAAUCUGAGCAUCUUGGAUAUAUUUUGCUCAAAUGACUAUACUCAUCAUUACUAAUAUAAUAUACUAUUUUUCCAACAGAUUUUAAGACAGUCGUACCAAAAAAAAAGAUUAUGUACAAAUUUUUAGUGCUACCACAAAUUGUUUUGCGCAGUGUUUGUACAUUAUACUGUAUAUUAGUACUAUUAUUACAAUUUAACACAGAGGGACCUUGGUAUCAAAACUGCUGAAAGUAAUGUAGAUAUCGUUGGUAAAAAUAAAGUGGUAUUUUUAGCUGUGAAACCGAAUAUAAUUAAAGACAUUUUAACUGAAAUUAACGAUAAAUCAAGUAUAGAAAAGGCAUUAUUCGUUUCUAUAGCAGCCGGUGUUACAACACAACGAAUAGAAAGUGUAUGAAUUAUUACUUAAUUAUUUAAUUAACAACUGGUUCUCUUUUUUUUUUGGUAAAAAAUUAGCUUCUUCCGGAAAAAGCAAGAGUAAUUAGAGUAAUGCCAAAUACUCCUUGUUUAGUUCAAUCGGGUGUUUGUGUUUUUACGAGAGGUAAGCAUGCUAAUGAAAGUGAUGCUGAUUUAGUUACGGAAAUGUUAAAUUGCGUGGGUCUCGUUGAAGAAAUGCCAGAAACUUUGAUGGAUACUGUUACCGGACUAAGCGGAAGUGGACCAGCUUAUGCCUUUGUAACAAUUGAAGCUUUGGCGGAUGGAGGAGUAAAAAUGGGUUUAAACAGAGAACAAGCCUUGAGGUUGUCUGCUCAAACUUUAAUGGGUGCGGCUAAAUUGGUCUUGGAGAGUGGUAAACAUCCGGAAGUUCUUAAGGACGAUGUCUGCUCACCAGGAGGUACGUCUAUUCACGCUCUCCACCAAUUGGAAAAAGGACAAUAUAGAGCAACUUUAAUGAAUGCUGUUGAAGCUGGUACUUUACGCUCAAAGGAGUUGGGUGAACCAAUAUAAACUAAAAGAAACUAUAUAUUUUUUAUUAUUUACAAUUAACAAAUUUACAAAUGAAUUUCUCCCUUUCAACUAUAGUUGAUAUUGCACGAUUGUUUAACUUUUUUCUUAUAUGAAAACGAGACACAAUUGAUCUUUAACUAAAUAAAGUAUACAUUUUAUUUUUUUUACUGGAUGACUGAAUACGAAUUGUCCUUUAACCAAAUCGCUGACAAAAGUGAGAAACUCGUUCUGGACACUUUUUCGUUGACUACUACUCUUUAGUAAAUAAUUGUUAUUCCGACGGAUUGCUUAUCAAUAGUAUUUUCACUUUUAUCAAUAACUAAUUAGCUUUUUCCUUACUAUCACCCUCUCAAUAAUUUCAUAUUAAUAAAGUAAAGGAAAAAACACAACUGGUU
RNAcentral lists this unclassified non-coding RNA (3150 nucleotides) under Dimorphilus gyrociliatus. RNAcentral's name for it is "pyrroline-5-carboxylate reductase". Lineage: Eukaryota; Metazoa; Annelida; Polychaeta; Dinophilidae. The record is from RNAcentral.